UGGUGGUCGUCUCGCUCCCCCCCCCCGCACCUCUGAGGGGAAAAACCACCCUCGCAACUUUGGACCGGCGAGCCGCCGGACUCAGCGUCAGGAAGUAUGGCGUGAUAUCAGGUCUCGCGAUGUAACAAAUUGCUUCACGUCACUGCACACAUACACCCCCAUUCAGGAACCGGAUAACAAGAAGAACUAUAAUAGCUA
Molecule: long non-coding RNA, 198 nt
Organism: Etheostoma spectabile (orangethroat darter)
Lineage: Eukaryota; Metazoa; Chordata; Actinopteri; Perciformes; Percidae
Exons: 3
Source: RefSeq, a predicted model, not a curated record